UUGCAAAUAAGGAAACAAAUCAAAUUGGAAGAAGGAAUCUCGCCACAGCUUUGACAGUGUCCACGAUUUCGAGGAUAUCUCUCUCAUACGAAUUCCGAAUUAGGUGAUUUUGGCGGCAUUGGAAAGCUAAUUUCAAGGGCUACAAUUCUUAUUUACACAAUAUUCCAAAAUUCGGACUCCAACAUGGCGAAAAUCGAAGAACAAGUCCUGAUGGGGGAAAGUGGCGGAAAUUGAUUCCUAUUAGGUUUCUACUACUUCCUUAUCAAGAAAAGCCUAUAAAAGCAACAUGUCUAUACACCAUAAGGACGAAAUUUGACACCACAAACGCGAAGAACGAAGAUCAACGAAGACUCAAGCAUAGUUUUUCUUAUUUCUUUUAUUUUUAUUUUGUUUAUCAUAAGAAUUACGAGUAGCUAAGUUUUUAUUCUAGGAUUUUGUUGGAACCCUAUGUAGGGAUUGCGAACCCUUUUUCUUGAGAUUAUGCAAUUAUGAUUUUAUGAUUAUUUCUUCUACUUGUUAUGAUUGUUAGUGCAUGAACUUGAUCAAUUUAUGUGCUUUAUCUGUGAUUAUUGGGAUUGACUCGACAGAGCUAUUUUGAUAAUUAGACGGUAAGUAAAAGAGCCUUCGAGUAGUUUUCACCGGAUGAGUGUGUCAAUUGCAUGUGGUGUCGUAGACAUACAGAUAUCACCUUAGGUAGCCAUUUACGAGACUUGUUAGUUAAUGCUUUAUUUAUAAUUGGUUUGCAUAGACAUAUAGUGAAUCGUUUAUGAAUAAUAGACUCAUAAUACACGCGACAGCGGGUUAUGAGUAAAUUAGUGUCUCGGGUUAAUAAUCAUGAAUCAUAUAUUGCAUAAUUGAGGGGUUUCGGGUGAGCAAUUCUUGCAUAGGGGGAAGAUAAAAUCCUAGGUUUGUUUUAUUGAUAUUUUCUCGUGUUUAUUUGCUUUCAUAAUUAGUUUAAUUAUUUAGUUGAUUAAAUUUGACAACCUUGCGUAGGCUGGAUAAAAAUCAUAAUUGUUAGAAUUUGGUACUUAGGAUUAGGUAAUUUGCGUAUUCCCUGUGGGAUCGACAUCCGACUCUCACGAGUCCACUUUAUUACUUGUUUGCGAUACGUGCACUUGCGUGUUGGUAUUUAGCACCCAACAAGUUUUUGGCGCCGUUGCCGGGGAAUACGGCUAAAUUAUCUAUUUAUUCUAAUAUCAAAUUUGAGCAAUUUUUUUUACUUCAGCCAUUUAAUUUUUAUUUUUAUUUUUAACUUUAAUUUUUAUUUUUUUUGUUUUUUGUUACAUGUCUGGUUACAAUCUUCGGGCACCUCAAACGGGAUAUGAAUGGCUUCCAUCUGACGAAUACCUCCAAAACACCUAUGAUAUGGCUCCGUUUUGUUCAGCAUGUGGUGGAAAUCAUUUUUCCGAUCAAUGUUGGAGAUCACCAAAGGCGACAAAUUUCGUCGAAAUUACCAACGGAGGUUAUUGGAACACUUACACCAACACAUACGAGCAAAGCUUUCAAGACCAAGAUUUGAACGAGUUUCAACAUAGAGAGCCACAAUUUGAUGAUUUUCAAAAUUAUUAUCCAAUGCAGCAGCAGACCACUGAUGAACAACUUGAUUUGGUAUCCCUUGUUGCCGAAUUCAUGAAGUCCACUCAAUCAUCAUUUCGAAACAUGGAGAUACAACUGGAAGAGAUGACGCUCAAAUUAAAAUCUGAGUCUCUUGAAAAUAUUCCAGACGAAAUCGACAAUGGUUAUAUCAAAGAAAAUUCGGGUGAAGCCUGCGGUGAGAAAAAUCUUCUAUGUCUGGAAAAUAGUGUCGAUGUGAAAGAAAUAGAAAUUACAAAGACAUUUGAGCAUGAUGAAUCUGAGAAGACAAUCGAGCUAAACCACGAAGAUGCCUCAGAACAAGAGAAGAAGGAGAUGGAUUUAAUGAUUGAAGAUAUUCUAGUUGUGGACCAUGUCGUUGAUCUAAAUGUAGAUUUGAAGGCAUCAGUAGAGGUUGAUGAGAAGAUGAAUGUGUUUGAAGUGGAGGUUAUACGCGGACGUGAGGUUUUUGUAUACCGAUUUGAGGGGGCGGGUGAUGAAGAUCCCAUCUUGGCUUCGUACCUAUUGAUUACAACCAAAAAAGACUACAAGCUAAGGUGGACGGUAACAUAUUGCAGUGAUAUCCAUGCCUUGAUUGGAAUUGAAGUGAUAGAGCUCAUGGAUGGAUGCGCAAUCUACAAGGCUUUGGAUUGGACAUAACAAUUUCAAGAACCAAAGUCUGGCUGAAGACUUAAAAUUUAGCGCUUCUCGGGAGGCAACCCGAGCUUUACUGUUUUUCAUAUUUUUCUUUAAUUUUAUGUUUUAUUUUUAUUUUCUUAGGCAUGCAUUCUAAUUAAUUUAUUUGAUUUCUUAUUUUUAAGGUCGGAAUUGCGAUCGGGACGGUCACCUGAGAGACAGAGAGGGCAUCUUCGCAAGAGGAAAAUCAAAUUUCUUUCCCACAAAUUCUCACACCCCGAAGAUAACGAUUCCGACUAAAUCAGGUGUUUUCUAUCCUUAAACUUUGUGCUAAUUUCGUUGAGGGUAACGAAAAUUUUAAGUUUGGGGGUGAAAAAACAUGUUUUUUUUUUUGUGCUUUAAUUUUUUAGUUUGCAUGCCUUAAGUUUUUUUAUUUGAGUUAUUUUAUUUUAGUUAUUUCUUUCGAAAAAAAAAUAAAAAAAAAUUGCUUGAGAUAAAUGCUUCGAUGAAUCAUGAUGAUGAAAGAUGGUCGAUGUUUAAUGAUGAAAUUGCUUGUUUUAUCUUGAUUUUGAUCGAAUUUUGGUGAGCUUUUGAUUCAAAGUUUCGUAAGAAGGAGUCAUUGUUAGGAAUCUCGAAUUAUGCGUUGCUUUGGUUGAAAGUUUUGUGUUUUAAAAUAUGAGUUAAUUUAUGUUAUAUCAUAUGCUAUUCGGUUUUAGAACUUGUCUUAUGAAUUUACAAAGUGAAAUAUUAAAUUGUUGAGCAAUUUGGGAAGUGAUUUGGGCCAUCUUUGAACCGUUUGAGCCUUUCAAGCCUACCUUUAAAUUUUUAUCAUUCGAACCUUGAUUGAGCCUUGGAGAAACGGUGUUCUUUCUUUUAGCCAAUGUGUAUAAGGUAGAAUAAAUGGAGAUUCUUGAAAAAUUACCCUUUGGAGUUCGGUUGGAAACUUUUAUAAGGUCCUUCUUCUUCGUCUACCAAAAAAAAAAAAAAAAAAAAAAAAAAAAAGAAAUACAAAAAAAAAUAAUAAGAAAGAGAAAGAAAAAGAAGAAGAAGAGACUAGAAGGGGAAGUAAGGACUAGUUGUUGAAUUUUUGUUUGAAAGCUCGAUCCAUUGUCUUAAGAGCAAAAGUGGAGACUUUUGAACUCUUAAAAAUCGAGUUUAUUAAAAGUCCUUGGAGGUGAAUUCAUUGUUUCAAACGCUUAUCUUUCAAAAUUUGGCGUAAUCAUCUCAAUUCAAGAAGCAUAGCCACCUAUAUCCAUAUCUCCUACCUCGAACCAAAAAGCCCAACAUUUGAAAGCCAAAAAGUCCCAAUGAUCCCAAUAGCUCAAUUAUUUGAUACUAGCCGACUAAAGAAAUUUGGUGAGUAUUUGGAGUUGAAUAUUAAUAUGUAAGUAUAAAUUUUCUCAAUUUUUAAUGUACAAAUAUGGGAUACUUGAAGCGAUAGCAUGGUUUGUGGUUUUUAGCAAUGGUGAGUGAAUACGUAUCUUUGAAUUACGAGCUUGUAAAUUUUUGAGAAUUUUCAUUAUAAUUACAAGUUCUGAAAACGUGAAGUUGGUCAUUAAUCUAUGUGAUGAGAUGCGGUAGUUGAGUUUUUUCGCUUACGAUUAGAUUUUGCUUGAGGACAAACAAAAGUUCAAGUUUGGGGGUGUGUUGAGUGUAGAUAUUACACUCAAUACGUUAACUUUACGUGGAUUUUUUGUUUAGAUUUAAUUAUAUUUGUGCUUUAAUUGAUUGAUUUUGUGUUUUAUAGGUGAAAAACGAGAAUUAGGUGUCCAUGAAGGAAAAAAGAUCAAAAAGAAAGGAAAAAGUUGCAAAUAAGGAAACAAAUCAAAUUGGAAGAAGGAAUCUCGCCACAGCUUUGACAGUGUCCACGAUUUCGAGGAUAUCUCUCUCAUACGAAUUCCGAAUUAGGUGAUUUUGGCGGCAUUGGAAAGCUAAUUUCAAGGGCUACAAUUCUUAUUUACACAAUAUUCCAAAAUUCGGACUCCAACAUGGCGAAAAUCGAAGAACAAGUCCUGAUGGG
Molecule: long non-coding RNA, 4228 nt
Filed under: Erythranthe guttata (spotted monkey flower)
Lineage: Eukaryota; Viridiplantae; Streptophyta; Magnoliopsida; Lamiales; Phrymaceae
Description: long non-coding RNA (EGUT_LNC001872)
Source: RNAcentral